CCUACGGGUGGCAGCAGUGAGGAAUAUUGGUCAAUGGGCGGAAGCCUGAACCAGCCAAGUAGCGUGCGGGAUGAAUGCCCUAUGGGUUGUAAACCGCUUUUGUAUGGGGAUAACAUCCUCCACUUGUGGGGGUUUGUAGGUACCGUGCGAAUAAGGGCCGGCUAAUUCCGUGCCAGCAGCCGCGGUAAUACGGAGGGCCCGAGCGUUAUCCGGAUUCAUUGGAUUUAAAGGGAGCGUAGGCGGGGGUUCAAGUCAGCGGUAAAAUCUUGCGGCUCAACCGAGACCCGCAGUUGAAACUGGACGUCUUGAGUACACGACAGGCAGGCGGAAUUCGUGGUGUAGCGGUGAAAUGCAUAGAUAUCACGAAGAACCCCGAUUGCGAAGGCAGCCUACCGGAGUGCAACUGACGCUGAGGCUCGAAAGUGCGGGUAUCAAACAGGAUUAGAUACCCCGGUAGUC
Molecule: ribosomal RNA, 459 nt
Filed under: uncultured bacterium
Lineage: Bacteria
Description: partial 16S ribosomal RNA
Rfam family: Bacterial small subunit ribosomal RNA
Source: RNAcentral